Molecule: non-coding RNA, 71 nt
Organism: Podarcis lilfordi (Lilford's wall lizard)
Lineage: Eukaryota; Metazoa; Chordata; Lepidosauria; Squamata; Lacertidae
Source: the annotation of a GenBank genome assembly
GCUGUAGCCCAGGGGUAGAGCACACCUGCCUUGCAUGUGGAAGGUCCCGGGUUCAAUCCCCGGCGUCUCCA